This 460-nucleotide ribosomal RNA is filed under the name uncultured bacterium. Its description in RNAcentral is "partial 16S ribosomal RNA". It matches the Rfam family "Bacterial small subunit ribosomal RNA", at positions 338 to 795 of the family's 1533-position model. The record is from RNAcentral.
CCUACGGGAGGCAGCAGUGAGGAAUAUUUGUCAAUGGACGAGAGUCUGAACCAGCCAAGUAGCGUGAAGGAUGACUGCCCUAUGGGUUGUAAACUUCUUUUAUAAAGGAAUAAAACGAGGCACGUGUGCCUUUUUGCAUGUACUUUAUGAAUAAGGAUCGGCUAACUCCGUGCCAGCAGCCGCGGUAAUACGGAGGCGCCGUGCGUUAUCCGGAUUUAUUGGGUGUAAAGGGAGCGUAGAUGGGUUGGUAAGUCAGUUGUGAACGUUUGCGGCUCAACCGUAAAAUUGCAAUUGAUACUGGCAGUCUAGAGUACAGUUGAGGUAGGCGGAAUUCGUGGUGUAGCGGUGAAAUGCUUAGAUAUCACGAAGAACCCCGAUUGCGAAGGCAGCUUACUAAACUGUGACUGACAUUGAUGCUCGAAAGUGAGGGUAGCAAACAGGAUUAGAUACCCCGGUAGUC